Molecule: ribosomal RNA, 255 nt
Filed under: uncultured bacterium
Lineage: Bacteria
Description: partial 16S ribosomal RNA
Rfam family: Bacterial small subunit ribosomal RNA
Source: RNAcentral
AAGAUUUAUCGGUGAGAGAUGGGUCCGCGUCUGAUUAGCCAGUUGGCGGGGUAACGGCCCACCAAAGCGACGAUCAGUAGCCGGCCUGAGAGGGCGGACGGCCACAUUGGGACUGAGACACGGCCCAGACUCCUACGGGAGGCAGCAGUGGGGGAUAUUGCACAAUGGGCGCAAGCCUAAUGCAGCGACGCCGCGUGAGUGAAGAAGUAUUUCGGUAAGGGAAGCUCUAUCAGCAGGGAAGAAAGGCCCGCAAGG